Non-coding RNA from Schizosaccharomyces pombe (fission yeast), 1306 nucleotides. NCBI's taxonomy places the organism in Eukaryota, Fungi, Ascomycota, Schizosaccharomycetes, Schizosaccharomycetales, Schizosaccharomycetaceae. The record is from the annotation of a GenBank genome assembly.
AAUAACAUUUGUAUCCACGUACAUCUUUCCCUGAUCGCCCAUCACUGGAUCUAAUAGCCAAAGUACCUUAGGAUGGUCUUUUUUGUAGGCAAGCACGCAAUCAAAUAUAACUUGGAUAAUAUCAUGAUUUGGUACAAACCCUGUGAGAAUUGCAUCGUAAACUAUUCCAUUAUCCUGUAAUAAAGCGUUUAAUAGAUCAUGAACCUCCUCUGGGAUGCAAGCGCUUCCUCGAGUAGCUCCAUAUCCUGUUCAUUCGGUUAGGUGAAAUUCAGAAUUUUUAAAAGCGUAUAUCGCAAAUUCUUUGCCCAAAAAGUUUUUGCAAUGUUUUUUUUGUCAGAUUUAGAAUAACUUUUCAACGCUUGGCUCGAUGGAAAUCUUUUUACUUACCAAGGUGAUUUGAAAAAUGUACCGUAGGUACGACAUCUACUUCCCAUUCAUGCAAUUGAAGUGGAAAUGUGGCAGAACGAUUCCCUACAUAUCCAUGGCUUACUGAAGACUGUUGGAAUUGUGAGCAAAGCACCCCUCAUUGACAAUUACAAACCUGAAUCGAUAAAACUCGUUUAUUACCGAUGAACUUGACAUUGGGAAAUGUCAUAGAGCUUAUUUAAAAGGUAGAAUUUUGUAAAAAUGAAAGAGAAUAUUGCCGAAGUGACUUGUGCUUUCGAUUUCUAAAGUUUUGAGAGAAGUUGAAAAAAGAAGUAAGUAAAGAAAUUGGCGAGCUGCUAAAAAAUUGAUUUACGAGAAUUUUAUGUAGACGAUAUUCAAGAAUAAUCUUUUCAAUUUUUUAUUUUAUUUUUUGAUUUGUUAAUACAAGUCUCGAUACAAGCAAACGCUUUCUAUGGUUGGAACGAUAUUGCACAUACAAAACUCAUGAAGUAUUGUUCAAUACAUUCAAUAAAGUUUUGAACCUUUUUUAAUGUAAAUUGUCCGACUUUUGGGCUUUUAGGACUGUUAGUAAAGCUUUUUUCACUAUUAAUAAUUUUGCUUUGAUUAACCUGAUAUUCUCACUAAUAAUUCCCUUUACAACAAAUUAAUUUCCACCAGUUGCGUUUAAUUUUUCUAAACUUCUUAUUCCUCAUGAUAAUCUUUACUUUUUUAUACAAGUUUAUUGAAACGUGCAGUUAAGCAUACGAAUAUAGCAAUCUUUCAUGACAUAUUGAAUUGCUUGGUCUUUAUUUUAUGCAAUUCUGAUUUUAAUAUGCACCUCCAAAAUGGUUUGUCGGAUUUUAAAGAUCAGCUUUGUUCAAGUACCAACAGUCGAAUAUCCUUGAUACAAAAUACUAGCAAACUAUUUAAAUAGUCUAAU